This 2902-nucleotide ribosomal RNA is filed under the name Acinetobacter baumannii. RNAcentral's name for it is "23S ribosomal RNA". It matches the Rfam family "Bacterial large subunit ribosomal RNA". The record is from RNAcentral. Lineage: Bacteria; Pseudomonadati; Pseudomonadota; Gammaproteobacteria; Moraxellales; Moraxellaceae. RNAcentral also lists the same sequence under 3 other names.
GGUUAAGCGACUAAGCGUACACGGUGGAUGCCCUGGCAGUCAGAGGCGAUGAAGGACGUGCUAAUCUGCGAAAAGCGUCGGUAAGGUGAUAUGAACCGUUAUAACCGGCGAUGUCCGAAUGGGGAAACCCAGUGCAAUUCGUUGCACUAUCGUUAACUGAAUACAUAGGUUAACGAGGCGAACCGGGGGAACUGAAACAUCUAAGUACCCCGAGGAAAAGAAAUCAACCGAGAUUCCCCCAGUAGCGGCGAGCGAACGGGGAGCAGCCCAGAGUCUGAAUCAGCUUGUGUGUUAGUGGAACGGUCUGGAAAGUCCGACGGUACAGGGUGAUAGUCCCGUACACCAAAAUGCACAGGCUGUGAACUCGAAGAGUAGGGCGGGACACGUGGUAUCCUGUCUGAAUAUGGGGGGACCAUCCUCCAAGGCUAAAUACUCCUGACUGACCGAUAGUGAACCAGUACCGUGAGGGAAAGGCGAAAAGAACCCCGGCGAGGGGAGUGAAAAAGAACCUGAAACCGUGUACGUACAAGCAGUGGGAGCACCUUCGGGUGUGACUGCGUACCUUUUGUAUAAUGGGUCAGCGACUUAUAUUCUGUAGCAAGGUUAACCGUAUAGGGGAGCCGCAGGGAAACCGAGUCUUAACUGGGCGUUAAGUUGCAGGGUAUAGACCCGAAACCCGGUGAUCUAGCCAUGGGCAGGUUGAAGGUUGGGUAACACUAACUGGAGGACCGAACCGACUAAUGUUGAAAAAUUAGCGGAUGACUUGUGGCUGGGGGUGAAAGGCCAAUCAAACCGGGAGAUAGCUGGUUCUCCCCGAAAGCUAUUUAGGUAGCGCCUCGUGAAUUCAUCUUCGGGGGUAGAGCACUGUUUCGGCUAGGGGGUCAUCCCGACUUACCAACCCGAUGCAAACUACGAAUACCGAAGAAUGUUAUCACGGGAGACACACGGCGGGUGCUAACGUCCGUCGUGAAGAGGGAAACAACCCAGACCGCCAGCUAAGGUCCCAAAGUCAUGGUUAAGUGGGAAACGAUGUGGGAAGGCACAGACAGCCAGGAUGUUGGCUUAGAAGCAGCCAUCAUUUAAAGAAAGCGUAAUAGCUCACUGGUCGAGUCGGCCUGCGCGGAAGAUGUAACGGGGCUAAACCAUGCACCGAAGCUGCGGCAGCGACACUAUGUGUUGUUGGGUAGGGGAGCGUUCUGUAAGCCUGCGAAGGUGACCUGUGAGGGUUGCUGGAGGUAUCAGAAGUGCGAAUGCUGACAUAAGUAACGAUAAAGCGGGUGAAAAGCCCGCUCGCCGGAAGACCAAGGGUUCCUGUCCAACGUUAAUCGGGGCAGGGUGAGUCGACCCCUAAGGCGAGGCCGAAAGGCGUAGUCGAUGGGAAACAGGUUAAUAUUCCUGUACUUGGUGUUACUGCGAAGGGGGGACGGAGAAGGCUAUGUUAGCCGGGCGACGGUUGUCCCGGUUUAAGCAUGUAGGCUGGUUAUCCAGGCAAAUCCGGAUAAUCAAGGCUGAGGUGUGAUGACGAGGCACUACGGUGCUGAAGUAACAAAUGCCCUGCUUCCAGGAAAAGCCUCUAAGCAUCAGGUAACAUCAAAUCGUACCCCAAACCGACACAGGUGGUCAGGUAGAGAAUACCAAGGCGCUUGAGAGAACUCGGGUGAAGGAACUAGGCAAAAUGGUGCCGUAACUUCGGGAGAAGGCACGCUGGUGUGUAGGUGAAGUCCCUGCGGAUGGAGCUGAGACCAGUCGAAGAUACCAGCUGGCUGCAACUGUUUAUUAAAAACACAGCACUGUGCAAACACGAAAGUGGACGUAUACGGUGUGACGCCUGCCCGGUGCCGGAAGGUUAAUUGAUGGGGUUAUCCGUAAGGAGAAGCUCUUGAUCGAAGCCCCGGUAAACGGCGGCCGUAACUAUAACGGUCCUAAGGUAGCGAAAUUCCUUGUCGGGUAAGUUCCGACCUGCACGAAUGGCGUAAUGAUGGCCAGGCUGUCUCCACCCGAGACUCAGUGAAAUUGAACUCGCUGUGAAGAUGCAGUGUACCCGCGGCAAGACGGAAAGACCCCGUGAACCUUUACUAUAGCUUGACACUGAACAUUGAGCCUUGAUGUGUAGGAUAGGUGGGAGGCUUUGAAGCGUGGACGCCAGUCUGCGUGGAGCCAACCUUGAAAUACCACCCUUUAAUGUUUGAUGUUCUAACGUUGGCCCCUUACCGGGGUUGCGGACAGUGUCUGGUGGGUAGUUUGACUGGGGCGGUCUCCUCCCAAAGCGUAACGGAGGAGCACGAAGGUUAGCUAAUCCUGGUCGGACAUCAGGAGGUUAGUGCAAUGGCAUAAGCUAGCUUGACUGCGAGCGUGACGGCGCGAGCAGGUGCGAAAGCAGGUCAUAGUGAUCCGGUGGUUCUGAAUGGAAGGGCCAUCGCUCAACGGAUAAAAGGUACUCCGGGGAUAACAGGCUGAUACCGCCCAAGAGUUCAUAUCGACGGCGGUGUUUGGCACCUCGAUGUCGGCUCAUCACAUCCUGGGGCUGAAGUAGGUCCCAAGGGUAUGGCUGUUCGCCAUUUAAAGUGGUACGCGAGCUGGGUUUAGAACGUCGUGAGACAGUUCGGUCCCUAUCUGCCGUGGGCGCUGGAGAAUUGAGGGGGGCUGCUCCUAGUACGAGAGGACCGGAGUGGACGCAUCACUGGUGUUCGGGUUGUCAUGCCAAUGGCACUGCCCGGUAGCUAAAUGCGGAAGAGAUAAGUGCUGAAAGCAUCUAAGCACGAAACUUGCCCCGAGAUGAGUUCUCCCUGAGACUUUAAGUCUCCUGAAGGAACGUUGAAGACGACGACGUUGAUAGGCCGGGUGUGUAAGCGCAGCGAUGCGUUGAGCUAACCGGUACUAAUGAACCGUGAGGCUUAACCUU